GCAACUGCAGAACAAACAAAAAGUGUAACUGUAAUUUCACGUGACUAGUGACCACCAUGUUUUACAGUUGCGAGUCCAAUUCACAACAGUACCAUUUAACACUUUGACCGAUUAAGGAUGAAGGGCUACAGAAAAAAAUUAAUUUUUUAAUUAUAAUUUUUUUAAUUCGAAAUUUAUUUAAGUUUUCCUAAAAUUCAACGGGCCAAGUUUGGUACUUCAGUAAGUUUUAACUAUUAUCAUUAAUCAUUAUCAUUGAUAUCCUACAAAAUUGUAGUCUUAAAUAUUCUUUUUCCCUGGGCCAAUGGAAGUAAUUAAAAAUCAGAAAAAUAGUGAUGUAAAACACUUGUGGAAUAAACCUUAAACUCUGAGUUUUUGCAGUAAAUUCAGAUUUUCUAAUCCCCUAUAUCUUUGCAACCUGAUGGUGUAAACCUUUGAUAUUUUAAACUAUUAUUAUUUGAUCUAAAAAAAAUCAUAAUUUGAAAUAUUAAUGGCCUCCGACAUUGAAUUGCAAAGAUAUAGUUACCUGUAAUAGGACCAUCGAGAGUUGACCCCCAGCUGCCAAACAACUCCAGACAAUUAAAAGGUUAAUCAAGGAAUAGGCAGGUUUGAAGCAAAAGCAUCUCCAUCCUGGGGAAUUUUCCGCAUUUUCCGAAAAGAAAAAACAGCAAGGUUCCUUCUCGACAAUUAUUGAAAGACUGGAUAAGUGUAAAAUUGUUGUUUAAAUCAACCACUGUACACUGUACGUGUGUUUAAUGUAUACAGUACAUAUCCAAUUUAAAUUGA
Long non-coding RNA from Eurytemora carolleeae, 783 nucleotides. RefSeq lists it as uncharacterized. The record is from RefSeq and is a predicted model, not a curated record. The transcript has 2 exons. Lineage: Eukaryota; Metazoa; Arthropoda; Copepoda; Calanoida; Temoridae.